UAACUUUUCCUGAAAGUUCUCUUUGGCAAGCCGUUUCGAACUUCCAAAAAGAACACAAAACGAACUUCGUUUUGGCCUGAUUUUGUUCAAAAUGACGUUACAUCAUUUCGUUCUUUGAUUUCGUUUGAAGUAUAUCGGGGCCUUAACGUUUGUUUCUGUCAGUCACGGCACCGGUGUGGAUACUGUACUUCAGAAUCACAGAUUGUAGUCUUGGAAGUAUGACCAAAAUAAGAAUUUUCACUGGAAAAUGUCAUCUGAACAAGCCCCAUCCGUAGCUCACGUCCUGAGGUUUGCAGACUUUGCGUUUCCUGCCUGAAGCUGAAGGCAGGGGCGUAGCCGACCCCCUGGAAGUAUGGACAGGGACCAUCCUGGUGGUGGUGGGGAGGAUGGAGGUGGAGGUUGGCGUCAGCAUCUGCGAACUCAGACAUGUGCUGUUCCAUUUUGCUCCAUCCAGCUGUUUUUGAAUGCAAAACCAGCUGUGUGAACAGCCCAUAAGAAACACUCCUGACCUCAAAUCACACUAAAUAUUACAGUGCAUUCUUAAGGGGAACUAGAUGAUUAAUCAAAUCAUUAGGACAUUCCAACUAUGUUCAGCAGCUACAAAGAAGAACAUGCUAUUGACUCCAGUUCAAAGCAAGGCUGAGGGGUGAGCCAAUACAGGGAUCCUUGAUACUUACUGGCGAACAGCUGUUGGGCAGCAGGCAAGUUUCCCCCCCCCGUGAGCAUCUGCCAUUGCAAACUGAUUACCCAGGGGUAGAGCAGCCUGUGCCACCCGCUCCAGACUAAUCACAUCUGUUGCUUUGAUUAAGAGGCGAACAAGCUCUCAGCCUGGUCCUGGACCACCGAGGGGCUCAAGACUCAUGUGGUUAUGAGAGAGUGCAGAAGAAAGGAUGGACGGAAGAUGAGAGGCAAAGACAUGUCUGUGAGUGUCAGAUGGACAAGACUGGAAGGAGAAAGGUGUAGAAACGGAAAGGAUGAGGAACACAUCACUAAUAAGUGUCCUAACAAAUCACACCAUAAUAAAGUGACAAGCUAUAAAUACUUGCACUUCGGUGUUUAGCCGAAUUUAACCUGCAAUAAACAAGUGACAAGAAAACUUUCUUUCUAAAACUUUUUUCUAUUUUAAUAUAUUUUAAAAUAUAAUUUAUUCCUGUGAUGUCAAAGCUGUAUUUUCAGCAUCAUUAGUUUUCAUUGUUGUCACAUGAUCCUUCAGAAAUCAUUCUAAUAUACUGAUUUUAACACAUCCCUGCUGAAGAAAAGUAUGGAUUUCCUAAAAGAAAUUACUAUCUCCAUACUUGUAAACAGUAGAUUGAAAGGUAUAUAUUACAUUUUAAUAUUAUAAUAGAAAAGUACGAAUAAAUCACAACAAUGACAGUAAAAAUCUGCCAAUUCUGCAUUACCUUAUAUUCCUUAUACUGUAUAUUAUUUCAAACAUUGUUUGCACAUCUAUUUUUUUUUUUGUCAAUAAACCUUAAUAUUUUAUACAUUUUGUCUGUUUAAGUUUUUAAAUUUUACAUAUAAAUUUUAUAUUCUUCAACUGCCAUUCCAUAAUAGGAACAAAAUAGACUAAUAUUGACUAAAAUGUUAAUCCUGACUACAAAAAAAAAAGUAAAAAUGUUAAAGAGGACAAUAUUAUGCUUUUUAAUGUUGCUGUUUGAGCAUGAAAAAGGUGUGCAAAGUUAUAAAGAACAAAGUCACUCUAAAAUUCCCUGAAACACCUCAAUAUAGUCUUGAGUUUUCGAGUUUUCUUCCAUCACAGUAUUACUCAGUAUUUAAAUAAUUCCCAACAAAGGCAUAUGUACAAAAAAAUGGUAGAGGUUUAUAGACCAAUAGUAUAGCAUAGUGGUGGUAGGAAAAUGUGCAAAAUCCACAGAUUUUGGUCAUCUGAGACAAAUUUUGAGAAUCCUAAAAGAUUCCUACAAUCCUAGGCUAAAAUAUGUAGUCUUUGAUCGCUAGUUUGACAUGUUCACAGACAGCCGAUUAAUGACCGUUGCGAUAAAAUUUUACCUUUACCUUUUACAUUCUGGCAGUGUCAGAAGAUUUGGCACACAGUCCUGCAGUGUGACUUCUCCUAUGACGAACGUCAAAUUGACUUCAUUUUUCAAGACAAGUCGUGAUCAAAAUUAACGCUAGAGAUUUCUUUGUUAGCCACCAUUUCAGUCCCGCGUGUAAUGCAGCUCACUGUCAUCGAACGUGUGUGGGUUGAUGAUGUAAAAGUUUUCAAAGUAACUUCCCGUUUUUAACUCGUCUUGACUGUCAUACAGUCUGACAUAUAGGACAGCUGAGAUCCCAGGGUGUGACAUGAGGAUCAUGUUCUUACAGUCUGACAAGCAACAAUCGUAAAGGACUAUUAUAAAUCGCACAGUGUGCACCCAGCUUAAGAGAAAAACGUUUUGUUGUGCCUUUGGAUGUCAGAAUCAGAAUGCAAAAAAUAUAGGCUUCAUUUUUAUAGAAUACCACCGUUUAAGACGUUUAUGUUUCAAGCCACAGACUAGACUGAUGAAACCUGCAAUGAUUAGUCUAAUACAAAUUAUUCACAUAUGCAGUUCAAAGGGGACAUUCAUAGCAGUUACAGCAUGAAAUAAAAUUUAAAGCUAUAACAUUUUGCAUAGAUAACUUUUAGACAGCCUAUAACAUUUUUAUUUCACAAUUCUGACUUUUUUUUCUUGCAUUUGCGUAUUAAAGGUGCCCAAGAACCAGUUUUUACAAGAUGUAAUAUAAGUCUAAGGUGUCCCCUGAA
Long non-coding RNA from Megalobrama amblycephala (Wuchang bream), 2740 nucleotides. RefSeq lists it as uncharacterized. Lineage: Eukaryota; Metazoa; Chordata; Actinopteri; Cypriniformes; Xenocyprididae. The transcript is spliced from 3 exons. The record is from RefSeq and is a predicted model, not a curated record.